This 73-nucleotide transfer RNA is filed under the name Pelodiscus sinensis (Chinese soft-shelled turtle). It matches the Rfam family "tRNA". Rfam says of the family: Transfer RNA (tRNA) molecules are approximately 80 nucleotides in length. Their secondary structure includes four short double-helical elements and three loops (D, anti-codon, and T loops). Lineage: Eukaryota; Metazoa; Chordata; Testudines; Trionychidae. The record is from Rfam by way of RNAcentral.
GACCCAGUGGCCUAAUGGGUAAGGCUUCAAGCUUUAAAGCUGGGGCCUGUGGGUUUAAGACCCACCUGGAUUG